AAAACUUUCAACAAUGGAUCUCUUGGUUCCGGCAUCGAUGAAGAACGCAGCGAACUGCGAUAAGUAAUGUGAAUUGCAGAAUUCAGUGAAUCAUCGAGUCUUUGAACGCACAUUGCGCCCCCUGGCAUUCCGGGGGGCAUGCCUGUUCGAGCGUCAUUACAACCCUCAAGCUCUGCUUGGUAUUGGGCAUCACCGGCCUCGGCGUGCCUCAAAAUCAGUGGCGGCGCCGCUCGGCUCCAAGCGUAGUAAUACUCCUCGCUUCCGGACGUCGGGUGUGUGGCUGCCAGCAACCCCCAACAUAUCAAGGUUGACCUCGGAUCAGGUAGG
This 327-nucleotide ribosomal RNA is filed under the name Rhytismatales sp. NO327b. Its description in RNAcentral is "eukaryotic LSU rRNA". The stretch from base 3 to 156 matches the Rfam family "5.8S ribosomal RNA". RNAcentral also lists the same sequence under 1 other name. The record is from RNAcentral. Lineage: Eukaryota; Fungi; Ascomycota; Leotiomycetes; Rhytismatales.